Callithrix jacchus (white-tufted-ear marmoset) is the source of this 107-nucleotide small nuclear RNA. Lineage: Eukaryota; Metazoa; Chordata; Mammalia; Primates; Cebidae. The record is from Ensembl.
GUGCUCACUUCAGCAGCACAUAUACUACAACUGGAAAGAUAGAGGGAAUAUUAGCAUGGCACCUGAACGAGAAUGACAUGCAAAUUCAUGAAGAGUUCCAUAUUACA